RNAcentral lists this ribosomal RNA (497 nucleotides) under uncultured bacterium. Its description in RNAcentral is "partial 16S ribosomal RNA". It matches the Rfam family "Bacterial small subunit ribosomal RNA", at positions 28 to 507 of the family's 1533-position model. The record is from RNAcentral.
GAUGAACGCUGGCGGCGUGCCUAACACAUGCAAGUCGAGCGAACAGACGAGGAGCUUGCUCCUCUGACGUUAGCGGAGGACGGGUGAGUAACACGUGGAUAACCUACUUAUCUGACUGGGAUAAUUUCGGGAAACCGGCGCUAAUCCCGGAGAAUAUAUUGAACCGCAGGGUGCAAUGGUGAAAGUCGGCUUUGGUGUAUCGUCUAGCGGGUUCCGCGCCGUAUGAGCUGGUUGGUAAGGUAACAGCUUACCAAGGCAACGAUGCGUAACCGAACGGAUGGGGUGAUCGCCCACACUGGAGCUGAGACACGGUCCAGACUCCUACGGGAGGCAGCAGUAGGGAAUCUUCCGCAAUGGGCGGAAGCCUGACGGAGCAACGCCGCGUGAGUGACAAAGGUCUUCGGAUCGUAAAACUCUGUUAUUAGGUAAGAACAACUGUGUAAGUAACUAUGCACGUCCUGACGGUACCUAAUCAGAAAGCAACGGCUAACUACGUG